Molecule: ribosomal RNA, 253 nt
Filed under: uncultured bacterium
Lineage: Bacteria
Description: partial 16S ribosomal RNA
Rfam family: Bacterial small subunit ribosomal RNA
Source: RNAcentral
GACAGAGGCCUCAAGCGUUAGGCGGAAUCACUGGGCUUAAAGCGUGUGUAGGCGGAUCGUUAAGUGUCUUGUGAAAUCCCACGGCUCACCCGUGGAACUGCUGGGCAUACUGGCGAUCUUGGGCCAACUAGGGGCAACUGGAACAAGCGGUGGGGCGGUGAAAUGCGUAGAUAUCGCUUGGAACGCCAAAGGUGAAAACAGGUUGCUGGGGUUGUGCCGACGCUGAGACACGAAAGCCAGGGGAGCAAACGGG